UGUACUGUGUUUGUGCCAUCCUGGUCAGGAACCCCCCUGAGGCUGAAAGGGGAGUCCAUUUAUUUUACGUUGCUGGAGUCCCACCUGUGCAGCUGGGGCCGAGAUCAGCAGAAAAAGAAGGCUGCCAAAAAGGAAGCUGUGACGGACACUGAGAAGCUCCAGGGCUGGUCACGUUUGUGCCACGAGGAUCCUGGAGGUGUUGAGAGCAGGCAGGGCACUGGAUGGUUCUUUUGAACUUUUCGUAUAAACUCGUAGUGAAUACUGAAGUACAGCUGGAGCAGUUCCCUCCUGAAGCAGGAUCCAGGAUUCUCAGCCGUGCUUCAGCCGGGGUCCCCAGGGAUGCCCCCAAAGAAGGAGCAGGGACUGGCAUGUUGUAUCAGGACCUGUCUGACCCAGGAAUCUGGAACACAUUAAAUCAAACCCUUGGCAUCACUGUGACUGACCACAAGUGCCUUGCUUGGCUGCUCAGCUUCUUUUUUCAACGUGUCAAAACUGGUAAGUUUUUCAAGAAGCUUUUUCUGUGAUUGAAGGGACACUGCAGGAACCUGCCUCUCCCUCUGACCGAAAAUCUCUUCUCAAUUUGGUUCUCAUUUCUUUCUCUUACAUUUGAAACUUUUUUUUUUUUUUUUAAGAAUUAAUUUG
RNAcentral lists this long non-coding RNA (642 nucleotides) under Manacus vitellinus (golden-collared manakin). RNAcentral describes it as "lncRNA (ENSMVIG00005010253.1)". The record is from RNAcentral. Lineage: Eukaryota; Metazoa; Chordata; Aves; Passeriformes; Pipridae.